This 222-nucleotide ribosomal RNA is filed under the name uncultured bacterium. Its description in RNAcentral is "partial 16S ribosomal RNA". It matches the Rfam family "Bacterial small subunit ribosomal RNA", at positions 109 to 334 of the family's 1533-position model. The record is from RNAcentral.
GGUAAUGUCUGGGAAACUGCCUGAUGGAGGGGGAUAACUACUGGAAACGGUAGCUAAUACCGCAUAACGUCGCAAGACCAAAGAGGGGGACCUUCGGGCCUCUUGCCAUCGGAUGUGCCCAGAUGGGAUUAGCUAGUAGGUGGGGUAACGGCUCACCUAGGCGACGAUCCCUAGCUGGUCUGAGAGGAUGACCAGCCACACUGGAACUGAGACACGGUCCAG